Molecule: ribosomal RNA, 468 nt
Filed under: uncultured bacterium
Lineage: Bacteria
Description: partial 16S ribosomal RNA
Rfam family: Bacterial small subunit ribosomal RNA
Source: RNAcentral
GACGAGCGCUGGCGGCGUGCUUAACACAUGCAAGUCGAACGGAAAGGCCCUGCUUUUGUGGGGUGCUCGAGUGGCGAACGGGUGAGUAACACGUGAGUAGCCUGCCCUUGACUUUGGGAUAACUUCAGGAAACUGGGGCUAAUACCGGAUAGGAGCUCCUGCUGCAUGGUGGGGGUUGGAAAGUUUCGGCGGUUGGGGAUGGACUCGCGGCUUAUCAGCUUGUUGGUGGGGUAGUGGCUUACCAAGGCUUUGACGGGUAGCCGGCCUGAGAGGGUGACCGGCCACAUUGGGACUGAGAUACGGCCCAGACUCCUACGGGAGGCAGCAGUGGGGAAUAUUGCACAAUGGGCGGAAGCCUGAUGCAGCAACGCCGCGUGCGGGAUGACGGCCUUCGGGUUGUAAACCGCUUUCGCCUGUGACGAAGCGUGAGUGACGGUAAUGGGUAAAGAAGCACCGGCUAACUACGUG